This 497-nucleotide ribosomal RNA is filed under the name uncultured bacterium. RNAcentral's name for it is "partial 16S ribosomal RNA". It matches the Rfam family "Bacterial small subunit ribosomal RNA", at positions 28 to 507 of the family's 1533-position model. The record is from RNAcentral.
GAUGAACGCUGGCGGCGUGCCUAAUACAUGCAAGUCGAGCGAACGGACGAGAAGCUUGCUUCUCUGAUGUUAGCGGCGGACGGGUGAGUAACACGUGGAUAACCUACCUAUAAGACUGGGAUAACUUCGGGAAACCGGAGCUAAUACCGGAUAAUAUUUUGAACCGCAUGGUUCAAAAGUGAAAGACGGUCUUGCUGUCACUUAUAGAUGGAUCCGCGCUGCAUUAGCUAGUUGGUAAGGUAACGGCUUACCAAGGCAACGAUGCAUAGCCGACCUGAGAGGGUGAUCGGCCACACUGGAACUGAGACACGGUCCAGACUCCUACGGGAGGCAGCAGUAGGGAAUCUUCCGCAAUGGGCGAAAGCCUGACGGAGCAACGCCGCGUGAGUAAUGAAGGUCUUCGGAUCGUAAAACUCUGUUAUUAGGGAAGAACAGAUGUGUAAGUAACUGUGCACAUCUUGACGGUACCUAAUCAGAAAGCCACGGCUAACUACGUG